This 2303-nucleotide ribosomal RNA is filed under the name human gut metagenome. Its description in RNAcentral is "bacterial LSU rRNA". It matches the Rfam family "Bacterial large subunit ribosomal RNA", at positions 502 to 2823 of the family's 2925-position model. The record is from RNAcentral.
CGUGAGGGAAAGGUGAAAAGAACCCCGGGAGGGGAGUGAAAUAGAACCUGAAACCCUGCACUUACAAGCUGUGGAAGCACAUUUCUUGUGUGACCGCGUACUUUUUGUAGAACGGGCCAACGAGUUACGUUAAGUAGCAAGGUUAAGCACUUAAGGUGCGGAGCCGUAGCGAAAGCGAGUUUUAACUGAGCGUUCAGUUACUUGACGUAGACCCGAAACCGGGCGACCUACCCAUGAGCAGGAUGAAGCGAAAGUAAAAUUUCGUGGAGGUCCGAACCCACGAGCGUUGAAAAGCUCGGGGAUGACUUGUGGGUAGCGGUGAAAUUCCAAUCGAGCCCGGAGAUAGCUGGUUCUCCCCGAAAUAGCUUUAGGGCUAGCCUCAAGGUGAGAGAUACGGAGGUAGAGCACUGAAUGUCCUAGGGGGUAUUGCACCUACCGAAGACUAUCAAACUCCGAAUGCCGUCAUCUUAUACUUGGGAGUCAGACUGUGGGUGAUAAGAUUCAUAGUCGAAAGGGCAACAGCCCAGAUCGUCAGCUAAGGUCCCUAAAUGUAAGUUAAGUGGUAAAGGAUGUGGGAUUGCACAGACAACCAGGAUGUUGGCUUAGAAGCAGCCACUCAUUCAAAGAGUGCGUAAUAGCUCACUGGUCGAGUGAUCCUGCGCCGAAGAUUUCCGGGGCUAAAACUUACUACCGAAGCUACGGCAUCAGUAAUGAUGGGUAGGGGAGCUUCCCAUACGGGUUGAAGCAUGACCGUAAGGACAUGUGGACAGUAUGGGAGUGAGAAUGUUGGCAUGAGUAGCGAGAUGUGGGUGAGAAUCCCACAGGCCGUAAACCCAAGGUUUCCAGGGGAAGGUUCGUCCGCCCUGGGUUAGUCGGGACCUAAGCUGAGGCCGAAAGGCGUAGGUGAUGGACAACAGGUUGAUAUUCCUGUACUACCGAUAACCGUUUGAGAGAAGGGAUGACACAGUAGGAUAAGCUAAGCACACUGUUGGUUAUGUGUGCCCAAGCAUUGAGGCAGUCAAAGUAGGCAAAUCCGCUUUGAUAAUGCUGGGAUGUGAUGGGGAGCGAAAUUUAGUAGCGAAGUAGCUGAUUUCACACUGUCAAGAAAAGUCUCUAUCGAGGUUAAAGGUACCCGUACCGCAAACCGACACAGGUGGGUGAGGAGAGUAUCCUAAGGCCAGCGAGAGAACUGUUGUUAAGGAACUCGGCAAAAUGACCCCGUAACUUAGGGAUAAGGGGUGCCACCAUCAGGUGGCCGCAGAGAAUAGGCCCAAGCGACUGUUUACCAAAAACAUAGGUUUCUGCUAAGUCGCAAGACGAUGUAUAGGAGCUGACGCCUGCCCGGUGCUGGAAGGUUAAGGGGAUCUGUUAGAGCAAUCGAAGCAGUGAACUUAAGCCCCAGUAAACGGCGGCCGUAACUAUAACGGUCCUAAGGUAGCGAAAUUCCUUGUCGGGUAAGUUCCGACCCGCACGAAAGGCGUAACGAUUUGGGCACUGUCUCAACAACAGACUCGGUGAAAUUGUAAUUCCGGUGAAGAUGCCGGAUACCUGCGACAGGACGGAAAGACCCCAUGGAGCUUUACUGUAGCUUGACAUUGGGUCUUGGUACUACAUGUACAGGAUAGGUGGGAGGCUUUGAAACCAGGACGCCAGUUUUGGCGGAGCCAUCCUUGGGAUACCACCCUUGUAGUACUGGGACUCUAACCAUAGGCCAUGAAUCUGGUCUUGGGACACUGUCAGGUGGGCAGUUUGACUGGGGCGGUCGCCUCCCAAAAGGUAACGGAGGCGCUCAAAGGUUCUCUCAGUACGGUCGGAAAUCGUACGUAGAGUGUAAAGGCAAAAGAGAGCUUGAUUGCAAGACAUACAGGUCGAGCAAGGAUGAAAAUCGGACUUAGUGAUCCGGUGGUUCUGCGUGGAAGGGCCAUCGCUCAACGGAUAAAAGCUACCCUGGGGAUAACAGGCUUAUCUCCCCCAAGAGUCCACAUCGACGGGGAGGUUUGGCACCUCGAUGUCGGCUCGUCGCAUCCUGGGGCUGUAGUCGGUCCCAAGGGUUGGGCUGUUCGCCCAUUAAAGCGGCACGCGAGCUGGGUUCAGAACGUCGUGAGACAGUUCGGUCCCUAUCCGUCGCGGGCGUAGGAAAUUUGAGAGGAUCUGCUCCUAGUACGAGAGGACCAGAGUGGACUUACCGCUGGUGUACCAGUUGUUCUGCCAAGAGCAUCGCUGGGUAGCUAUGUAGGGAAGGGAUAAACGCUGAAAGCAUCUAAGUGUGAAGCCCACCUCAAGAUGAGAUUUCCCAUGAUUUU